CACUACUUGGUGCAUCUACCGAUAUUAUUCUUAAGCGCAUCUGCUAGUAUUAUGAUAUUCUCUAAUUGGUGCAUCUGCCAAUAUCAUUCUUAAUCAUCUUUCAUACCUCAUCGUUUUAUCACAUACCAGCUAUCUCAUCUACCCAUGUUCUACCCAACAUAUUUGGGAAUAUAAAAUACAAAUACAGUUUAACUCAUUUAAAAACUAUAUAAAACAUCCAUUCCACACUCAUCUCAAAUAAACAACAAUAUAUAAACACAUAACACGUAUUUUAUAACAAAUACUUCAUAUUUAUGUGUUAGAAGAAAGUAACCACACACUCACCCAAACAUAUACUUAAUACAUUCAAACAAUACUUGUAUUAUACCCGUGUUUAUGAAAGGGACUAUACACCCACGCAUAUAAACAACUUUAUAUUAUACACAUAACACGUAUUUUAUAGCAAAUACUUAAUAUUUAUGUGUUAGAAGGAAGUAAAUACACACUCACUUGAUCAGAAGAUGAUCGGACAGCACUACGGCUUGCAGAAGUAGUAUUCUUCAGUAGAUCUGGAAGAUCUCCACAAAAAUCGAACUCCUCGCGGGCAGAGAUUCGGAUCGGGAAUCGCACUUCUCGGGAUCUUCGGGAGCGUAAAACUUCCUUCUUAACUUGGAUAUGAGAUCCGGGGUGUCGGGAUGGCUUCGGGGGUUUACAUGUAGAGCUUCGGCGUGAAAAUGAGAAGAAAUGAGCAAGAAUGCCCGGAACCCUCACAUACUAUUUAUAGGAGGCUGAAGCCUCGCAGUACGCUGGGUGUACUGCCUUAUGCGGAGCGUACGCCUUCGAAAUCGUCACUGCAUGCGUCAUCCGAAGAACUCGAGUGCGAGGCGCGUCAUGCUUCGCGGUACGCUGGGCGUACUUCGAAUAAGUCCGGUGACUCCUUUUCGGAUAAUAUCGGAUAUAAUAAAUAAAUUUAAAUAUUAAUUAUUUAAUAAACUUUGAAAAUUCAUAUCUUCGUCGAACGAACUUUGUUUUCGACGUUCUUCAUAUCCACNGACUACGCUCUACAACUUUCGUUUAGACUCCAUCGCCUAAUUUUGAUUUUUAUAUUUAUUAUUUAUAUUUAGUAGGCUGGGACAGGAAAACUCCGUUAUAAAAUCAUAACUUCUUUAUCCGACGUCCGUUUUUGCCUAUCUUUUCAUCGUUUCACUACAAUUAACGUGAUCUUCGAUUCUCGUUUAGAUUUUUUCGGCUAAAAACUGCUCGAUCUCAAAUCGAGUAUUCGGGCUGCAUACUACUAAGUUGAAACUUAGAAAAAUCAUAACUUCCUCAUACGAAGUCAGAUUUGGAUGUUCUUUUUAUGCACGCUCAUGGUUUAACGAAAUCUACGACUUUAUUUUAGAUAUCUAAGUCUAAAUAUCGCUCUAACAUAAAUUCACUAUUUACGUCGCGUUGUGUCGUGCCAGUUCUAUCGCGAAACUUCGACAGGACAUAACUUCUUCGUUAUAACUCGGAUUUCGGCGUUCUUUAUAUGUACGGAAUCCUUGUAACAUAUACUACAACUUAGUAAAGAUUAUUCAUCCUAAAUAAUCUUCUAUCAAAAAGUCAUUUUUGACGCUUAUCGUCUCUAAAUUGACUAGCCCUGAUCUACGGGCGUUACAAUUAUCUCCCCAUUAGGAUGAUUACGUCCCAGAAUCAUCAACGAUAAUAGAACUUGUAUAAUGAUUCCAUACGCUAUCUCUUCAUCCUAGGUAAUAAACGUAACUUCUAUGUUUCCUCGAAAAAGUAUUUAACUCUAUGGAUUUCUUGACCGGAGACGAUGCUCAAUCUAGCAUUUGCUUAUCGUACUAUGUUGUACUUUCAAUCGUAACCUUCGAGUUACCAAAUAAGUCCUUAUUGUGGACUCCUUCUUCUUCUCAGGAUAAUUACUUUCAUAUAUCUAUUGUAACAAACCGAUGGGUCAUGCUCUAUUGACCUCUCAUCGCACGAUACGACACUUAGACUCAGUCUUUAAUGAAGUUAAAUUCCAGAAUGGAAUAUACCUUUCUUCAUAUUAUAAUGUGAUAUAAUCACAUUUCAGCAUGUAGCAUUUCUACCUGUAAACUUCUUUUAUCAACGAGCGCGACACUAUCAAUCGCAUUAACUUCAACCUUCUGACUUAAGUCAGAUGUUACAUCUAACUUGGUCCUCUAGACCACGUAACAUACUCCUCGUAGUCGAACUCAAAUUUAAAUAUGACCACUACGGUCGGAACAAGAACCAUCUUACUAGUCAUUACCGAAACAAUGGUAAGGACACAUUGAACAAAACGUAAUCAAUUAUUAGCUUCUUGGUAACCUUGUGACUUUCCCUGAUCCAAGUGCGAGUCCUGUGCUUCCGGUAGUAUAUGCAUCUACUACCUUUCACACCUACUCAUACUCGUCGAAGGUAUUGUCCCGCAGUCGACCAAGUCACCAUACAAGAAAUCAGACAAUCAUUUAACACAUCAGGUAGCAAAACUAGGGUUUAUAUUAAUUCCUUGAAACGAUUACACAAAAGUUCAAGUUCACCCUAUACUAUGCCUCUAAUAGGCUACAUAAAUGAUACUUUUCAUAUCGUUACUUUAUAACUUGAUCUUUAGAUAUAAGAUCCUUAUUCUUGAUUCCUUGCAUUGCCAUCUGCUUCAUCAAAGAUCAUUUGAAAUGCUCUUGCCUUUAGCUUUGGCGGCACCUCUAGCCUUGCUGCUUGAUUUUUCCUUGGGCAGUCUUGCUUGAAGUGCCCCUCUUCGUUACAUUCGUAACACACCUUUUUGUUGAAAAUACAUUCAUCGGCGUAGUGCCCAUGCUUUCCACACUUGAAACAUGUCACUUCCACGCCACAUUUUCCUGAGUGCUUCUUCUUGCACUUAUCGCACCACCGUGCCUCAUCCCUUCCUCCUCCUCCAGACUUCGAGGAUUUUCUUUUCUCAUUAGAACCUGAAGUUCCUUCUAACUUUCUCUUCUCACCAACUNACUUUCUCUUGUCGCCAACUUCAACCUUACUGUCAGUCCUCCCCUUGAUCAUAUUCUAAACAGACUUGGCAGCCCAAAUAGCUACCUCUAGAGUAGGUGCCUGACGCACUGGCACCAUAUACUCCCAAGGGAGUCCCUUUACGUACCGGUCGACUUUUGUCAGUUCGUCUGGGAUGAUGCGCAAAGCAAACUCCAUCUUGUCUGUGAAGGCAUUAGUGUAUUCAUCCACUGACAUGCUGCCUUUCUUCAAUAUCAGAAAUUUGUUCUCCAACUCUAGCAGGUAUUGGGCCGAGCAGAACUUGCGCUUGAAUUGAACCAAGAACUCUGCCCAGGCAGUUGCAGUGGCUCAUUAGGGCUUAGGAUCUUCCCCAGAGUGUUCCACCAACGAACAACCCCACCCCUAAACUGACGUACUGCGAAAGUGGUCUGCAACGUGUCUCUGCAACCACACGUCAUGAAGGCUAGCUCCAUUUCCGAUACCGAAUCCAUAACUCUGAUCUGAUCCUCCUUUCCAGUAAAGUUCGAUGGUUUGCAAGUCAAAAAAUCCUUAUAAAUGCAUCCCAUUCCAUCAUUCCUUCCAUUCUGGUUGUUUUGCCUAACUAUCGGUGGGUUGGCUUGACCAACAGAUCCACUGAAGUUUCCUCCUUCCGAGUGCCCUUCAUUUAAUUCAGGCUCUUCCACUUGAAUUGACAGUUCUUCACGAUUCUGUUGAAGCAACCGNAGACGUCUCGUUUCAUCCAUCUGACGAUCCAACAUCGUUUGAAUCAUCAAUUGUACACCAGCCAUUGUUAUCGGCUUAGGUGCUGUUGCUACGACAGGUAUUUGCUUAAUCACUGGUGGUUGAUUCCUAUUUUUAUUAGCAUUUCCAACUCCACUUCUUGUUCUCACCAUUUUUGAUCUAUAUACCGAAUAAGGUGAAAUUAGAUCCUUAUUCACGAUAGAUAUUCAAAUCAUCCUUAUCACUCCGAAACAUUUACAUGCUAGUUCUAAAUUCGUAGACGUACGCUUAGAAUACUACACACAUAAGGUUUCCAGAUCCGGUCGACAACAAAUCAUAGAUCCGAACAAAUAAUAUCAUAUAUGACAACAAAUAACAUUUAGCACAUAAAAUCAUUUUAGGCAACUUUCCUAAAAUAAACUAGUGCUUGUGUCAAUUUAGGUGUACUACCUAAAAUAUUUUUGACACACUCCUCACGAUCAUUACUUAGCAUUCUAAGUUUAAGUCUAGAAAUUUCCUACAAAAUUCCUAGUUCACUUAAACUAAUGCUCUGAUACCAACUGUGACAUCCCCAAUUUCACGGCCAGAAAAGCCCGAUUUGUUUAUGCUUUGUUUUAUAAAAUCAAGAUACUUUCCUAGACAAAACAAAUAUUUAAGAGUUAGUGUAGUUCUUAUCAAGAGAAAACACUUUACAAAAUUUGUCCUAAUUGGUCUUUGCCUUAUCCAAGACAUCACAACUUACCAAUUUCAAAUGUGCAAGAAUAAGAAAACUUUUCAAAAUUCCACAUUUGAUGAGUGUUAUAAACCUUCUCGAGACUUGUCACUCAAUUCACAAUCUUGGAGUAUAACUCUAAGACUUGAUGUUGGAACAAAGUAUGAUUGACUCCUUGAUUUUAACCAUUUCCACAAUUCUCGAUUACUCUUCUUAGACAUGCAAAUGCACUAAGACUCACUUAGAGCAUCAAUUGAGAUACAGUUCCUUAUCAUUAAGACUUAUCAUAAAACACAAUAAAAGGUACUCUCCCUUCUUCUUAGAAUAAAGAAACUUUUAUCUUUCUGCCUACUUGAUUCUUCUUAUUCGUUCUGCUAUUGAUUGAAACUCUUUCGAUCAGCUCAUAAUUAUACUUAAUCUUAUAAGUAUAACCAUAUGUACUAAACUUUAGUAAAUCAUGAUGAAUAUCUUUAUCACUCUUGUGGUGGACUUGAUCAAUGUACAACCUAGUGCAUUCGAUCUCCUAGUCCUUCUCUUUACACUUUGUCAAAGAAUUACUCUAAUUUCCAAAUAUGAAGUUUCUCAUUCAUCACACAACCAAGUUACAUGACUCCAAGUUUCUGUCCAACUGAAACUUUGGCGAUGAGAAUCUUCCUUUAUUUGGCAAUUUCUCGACAUUUCCACAAAUGACAUAAUUAAGAAUCAAAUCCAUUAUUGAUACACAAACAUCAAUUUUUCAUAAUGAUUUCAUUGCAAGGAUAUAUAAAAUUAUUCAAACCCAAAAUUUUAUUUUAUUCAUAAAAGUAGCGGAAAACAUGUGCUUACAAUGCAAAAUCAAUUGAAAAACUAUGUUAUUAGCAAUCUAUUCUAACUCUAAGUAGUAGCUCAAGAACCCAAUCUUCAAGAAAUGCGAUCGAAAUCCAUUUCUUCAAGAUUAGAUUCAACUUACUUCUUCCCUUAAGCUUCCUCUAUUUUCUUCGAUCUUACAAAACAUCAAAAUGUCAUCUUAUCACAUCAUGAAUUAUGAAUCUGGAAUAGGAACUUAAAACACUUAGAUAGUGGAUUUCAUACCUGAAGAAUAGUCAUAACAUUAGACUCUCCCAUCUCUUAGAUCUCUCAGGUAGGUAGGGCAGCUUUGUCUCUGAUGCCCCUUCUCUUGGCAAUAAAAACAAAUGGACUCUUUUGGAAUGACACAUGGAACUAUCUCAGAGUUUAACUUUUCUGGAUCUCCAAUGUCAUCAUUUUCAAUGUCCACUAAAGUUUGGGAGUUUGAUUCACCAGACAAAUUUGCUUGACCAGCAUGCCAAAUCAUUGUUGAUUCAGCAGCUAUAAGCAAAUAGGUGAGAUCAAUGAGGGUUACAUCGUGAUCCAUCAUAUAUUACUCACUAACAAACUCACUAUAUGAUUCAGGAAGUGACUGAAGAACCGUGACAUCCCCAAUUUCACGGCCAAAAAAGACCGAUUUGUUUAUGCUUUGUUUUAUAGAAUCAGAGUUAUCUUUUAAAGAAAACAGUUGCGGAAUUUGUUCCCACAACAAAAUAUGAUAAAAAUUAUCAAAUCAUUUCUUUAAAGAAAUGUAUUUUCAUUAUAUAACAAAAUCUCGGGAUGUCAUGUUCAAUACAGACCAAAAGCAUAAACAGAACAAAAUAGACCUUACAACAGUUAUUCAUAACUACUGGCCUAUAAUCCAAAAUCUCUCGUCAAGUCCACAAACUUAUACUCUUGUGCCAUUACCUUUAAUGCAAAUAAAACUGAGUGGGUCAGGCUUGGGGGCGUGGUGAGCAUAUAGGGUUUUCAACCCACAAUAAUAUAAUUAUUAUAUUCAACCAUCAAACAAUCAACUCAAUUACCCAUCCCUAUUAUCUUCUUUAUUUCUUAGGAUUUUACCCUAGGAAUUCAACUACCCGUCGUUCAUUCAUUCCUAAGGAUUGACCUAAGGAAUUAGCACAAACUUCCAUUGCUACAUAAGGCGCAUCUGCGANGGGCGCAUGUGCCAACAUUAUCCUUUAAGCGCCUCUUCCAGGAUUAUGUCAUACACUAUGAGGCGCGACUGCCAGGUUUAUGACAUUCUCUUUUAGGCACAUCUGCUAACAUUAUCCUAUAAGCGCAUCUGCCAGGAUUAUCCUACAAGCACAUCUGCCAGGAUUACGACAUUCACUACUUGGUGCAUCUACCGAUAUUAUUCUUAAGCGCAUCUGCUAGUUUUAUGACAUUCUCUAAUUGGUGCAUCUGCCAAUAUCAUUCUUAAUCAUCUUUCAUACCUCAUCGUUUUAUCACAUACCAGCUAUCUCAUCUACCCAUGUUCUACCCAACAUAUUUGUAGAUAUAAAAUACAUAUACAAUUUAACUCAUUUAAAAACUAUAUAAAACAUCCAUUCCACACUCAUCUCAAAUAAACAACAAUAUAUAAACACAUAGCAUGUAUUUUAUAACAAAUACUUCAUAUUUAUCUGUUAG
This 6853-nucleotide long non-coding RNA is filed under the name Lactuca sativa (garden lettuce). Its description in RNAcentral is "long non-coding RNA (LSAT_LNC001307)". Lineage: Eukaryota; Viridiplantae; Streptophyta; Magnoliopsida; Asterales; Asteraceae. The record is from RNAcentral.